RNAcentral lists this ribosomal RNA (667 nucleotides) under uncultured bacterium. RNAcentral describes it as "bacterial SSU rRNA". It matches the Rfam family "Bacterial small subunit ribosomal RNA", at positions 748 to 1415 of the family's 1533-position model. The record is from RNAcentral.
GAGGUGCGAAAGCGUGGGGAGCAAACAGGAUUAGAUACCCUGGUAGUCCGCGCCGUAAAAAGAUGUCAACUAGCCGUGAGGAGCCGUGAGCUCUUAGUGGCGCAGCUAACGCAUUAAGUGGGCCGCAUGGGGAGUACGGCCGCAAGGUUAAAACUCAAAUGAAUUGACGGGGGCCCGCACAAGCGAUGGAGCAUGUGGUUUAAUUGGAAGCAACGUGAAGACCCUUACCAGGCCUUGACAUCCAAUGCACUUUCUAGAGAUAGAUUGGUGCCUUCGGGAACAUUGAGACAGCUGGUGCAUGGCUGUCGUCAGCUAAAAUCGCGAGAUGCUGGGUUAAGUCCCGUAACGAGCGCAACCAUUGUCCUUAGUUUCCAGCAUGUAAUGGUGGGCACUAUCAGGAGACUGCCGGUGACAAACCGGAGGAAGGUGGGGAUGACCUCAAGUCAUCAUGGCCCUUGCGGCCUGGGCUUCACACGUGGUACAAUGGUCGGUUCACAGGGUUUCCAAGCCGGGAGGUGGAGGUAAUCCCAGAAAGCCGAUGGUAGUCCGGAUCCCAGUCCGCAACUCGUCUGCGUGAAGUCGGAAUCGUUAGUAAUUGUGAAUCAGAAUAAAGGGGUGAAUACGUUCCCGGGCCUUGUACACACCCCUUAAUGGAAUUCCCGCGGCC